This is a long non-coding RNA of Hippocampus comes (tiger tail seahorse), 433 nucleotides long. RefSeq lists it as uncharacterized. The transcript is spliced from 3 exons. Lineage: Eukaryota; Metazoa; Chordata; Actinopteri; Syngnathiformes; Syngnathidae. The record is from RefSeq and is a predicted model, not a curated record.
UCAGCUUGGAGGCGACAACACGGGACCAACGUUACACACGUGGGCAGCUCGCGAAAGGAUUUUGCACAGGCCAUCAAGAGUGUGAUGGUGCUGCUGAGUGGCGUGAUGAAGCCCAGGCGGCCGUCGCUGAGCACCACAGCGAAGCCGUCCAGCGUCUCGCAGUACUCCACGCAGCGGAUGUGAACACCUUCCAGGUCCAGAGAUGGGCCGCCUACACACACCAGCGCACACACACAUAUUCAGAAAUUUUCCAACGUAGCGACGGAACUGCUGGUAGGAGACCCGAACAUUAACACAGACGCAUUAAAAACCAGGAGCGGAGGGAAGGCGUAAAAAGCGAGCGAGCAAUACUAAGCUGAAUCAAGAGGAGCACAGCCUUGGCCUGAGAUGCGACCAAGACGUCAACCGAGGUCUGCAAAAACAAUCAAAACUG